RNAcentral lists this long non-coding RNA (240 nucleotides) under Vigna radiata. RNAcentral describes it as "long non-coding RNA (VRAD_LNC010403)". The record is from RNAcentral. Lineage: Eukaryota; Viridiplantae; Streptophyta; Magnoliopsida; Fabales; Fabaceae.
UUGAAGGCUUGGCAUCCUGAGAAGAGUGCUGGAAUUGACCUGUUGUGAUACAGGGGUUACACGUUGAGGAUUGUUUGACAUGGGUUCAGAUUGCAAAAGAGGGGAUUCUUGUUGCAAGUCUGGUUUUGGUUAUUGCAGCUAUAUUUUGGUUUUGGGUUAGAGAGGAGAUUUAUAUAUUUUUGAUGUGAGGUCUUCUAUAAAUUCCUUGUUGUAAAAACCGCAACCUAUAUAGUACAUUUG